Molecule: ribosomal RNA, 502 nt
Filed under: uncultured bacterium
Lineage: Bacteria
Description: bacterial SSU rRNA
Rfam family: Bacterial small subunit ribosomal RNA
Source: RNAcentral
CUACGUGCCAGCAGCCGCGGUAAUACGGAAGGUCCAGGCGUUAUCCGGAUUUAUUGGGUUUAAAGGGAGCGUAGGCGGAUUGUUAAGUCAGCGGUUAAAGGGUGUGGCUCAACCAUGCAUUGCCGUUGAAACUGGCGAUCUUGAGUGCAGACAGGGAUGCCGGAAUUCGUGGUGUAGCGGUGAAAUGCUUAGAUAUGACGAAGAACUCCGAUUGCGAAGGCAGCUGACGGGAGCGCAACUGACGCUGAAGCUCGAAGGUGCGGGUAUCGAACAGGAUUAGAUACCCUGGUAGUCCGCACAGUAAACGAUGGAUGCCCGCUGUUGGUACCUGGUAUCAGCGGCUAAGCGAAAGCAUUAAGCAUCCCACCUGGGGAGUACGCCGGCAACGGUGAAACUCAAAGGAAUUGACGGGGGCCCGCACAAGCGGAGGAACAUGUGGUUUAAUUCGAUGAUACGCGAGGAACCUUACCCGGGCUUGAAUUGCAGACGAACGAUUCAGAGA